AUUGAACGCUGGCGGUAUGCUUAACACAUGCAAGUCGAACGGCAGCAUGAACUGUAGCAAUACAGUUUGAUGGCGAGUGGCGGACGGGUGAGUAACACGUAGGAAUCUACCCUAAAGCGGGGGACAACUGGAGGAAACUCCAGCUAAUACCGCAUAAGUUCUGAGGAACAAAGCUGGCAGCAAUGCUGGCACUUUAGGAGGAGCCUGCGUCUGAUUAGCUAGUUGGUAGGGUAAAGGCCUACCAAGGCGACGAUCAGUAGGUGGUCUGAGAGGAUGAUCACCCACACUGGGACUGAGACACGGCCCAGACUCCUACGGGAGGCAGCAGUGGGGAAUAUUGGACAAUGGGGGCAACCCUGAUCCAGCAAUACCGCGUGUGUGAAGAAGGCCUUCGGGUUGUAAAGCACUUUAGGCGGGGAAGAAGGUAAGUAGUUUAAGAGAUGACUUACUUGACGGUACCCGCAGAAUAAGCACCGGCUAACUCUGUGCCAGCCGCCGCCGUAAAAC
This 507-nucleotide ribosomal RNA is filed under the name uncultured bacterium. RNAcentral's name for it is "bacterial SSU rRNA". It matches the Rfam family "Bacterial small subunit ribosomal RNA", at positions 30 to 526 of the family's 1533-position model. The record is from RNAcentral.